AAAUUAUUCCCUCAUCUCCCAUGUGAAGGACUCCAGAGGUGUUCCAGCUGGCCAAAAGGCUGCCAAAUUCCUCUGCAGCUCUACUGCAGGACUCUGCCCAUUCCCCUUCCUGCUGGGAUUCCAGAAGCACUUUCUGGUUGCAAGAGUGAACAGCAGGAGUUGUGGUGAAUCAAGAGGACUCAAACCUGUGCUGAAGUUCGUGCCCCUCUGGGGUUCCACAACACUGAGUCAUUUAUUUGCCUUUUCAUCUCUCUGCCUUCCUUGCCAAGACCUGCCCUGCUGAAAUGAUCACCUGCCCCAUCACUUUUUUCAUCAGGGUGUCACACCUGCCCUGUAAGCUCUGCCCCCCUGCUCGGUCAGGGGGGCUCUGCUGAAGGUGGGAGUCUGGCUCUGCUAGGAUUCACAUCUACACUCACAGCCUGCUUCCAAGGGAAAUGUAGAGGAUUCUUUUCUGGAGCAUGCACAGGAAAUCCCUGGAUGGUGACAUUUGGAAUUGGGGUCGGGAAAGGCUGCUCUCUGCAGGUCUUGGAGCACACAGGCCUUUCUGGAAGCCAGCAUGAUCGUGGAGACAAGUG
Molecule: long non-coding RNA, 575 nt
Organism: Vidua macroura (Pin-tailed whydah)
Lineage: Eukaryota; Metazoa; Chordata; Aves; Passeriformes; Viduidae
Exons: 3
Source: RefSeq, a predicted model, not a curated record